This 518-nucleotide ribosomal RNA is filed under the name uncultured bacterium. RNAcentral describes it as "bacterial SSU rRNA". It matches the Rfam family "Bacterial small subunit ribosomal RNA", at positions 1 to 498 of the family's 1533-position model. The record is from RNAcentral.
UUAGAGUUUGAUUCCUGGCUCAGAACGAACGCUGGCGGCGUGCCUAACACAUGCAAGUCGUGCGAGAAAGUCUUCUUCGGGAGGCGAGUAAAGCGGCGCACGGGUGAGUAACACGUGGGUAACCUNUCCUUGAGACUGGGACAACCCAGGGAAACCCGGGCUAAUACCAGAUCCGGCCCUGGGAUCUUCGGAUCCCUCGGAGAAAGGAUGGCCUCUGCUCGCAAGCCAUCGCUCUAGGAUGGGCCCGCGGCCCAUUAGCUAGUUGGUGAGGUAACGGCUCACCAAGGCAAUGAUGGGUAGCUGGUCUGAGAGGAUGAUCAGCCACACUGGGACUGAGACACGGCCCAGACUCCUACGGGAGGCAGCAGUGGGGAAUUUUGGGCAAUGGGCGAAAGCCUGACCCAGCAACGCCGCGUGCAGGAUGAAGGCCCUCGGGUCGUAAACUGCUGUCGGGAGGGAAGAACAGCAGCGGAAGGAACAUGGCCGCUGCCUGACGGACCUCCAAAGAAGCGCCGGCA